RNAcentral lists this ribosomal RNA (253 nucleotides) under uncultured bacterium. RNAcentral's name for it is "partial 16S ribosomal RNA". It matches the Rfam family "Bacterial small subunit ribosomal RNA", at positions 524 to 776 of the family's 1533-position model. The record is from RNAcentral.
UACGAAGGGGGCUAGCGUUGCUGGGAAUCACUGGGCGUAAAGCGCACGUAGGCGGAUUGUUAAGUCAGGGGUGAAAUCCUGGAGCUCAACUCCAGAACUGCCUUUGAUACUGGCGAUCUCGAGUCCGGGAGAGGUGAGUGGAACUGCGAGUGUAGAGGUGAAAUUCGUAGAUAUUCGCAAGAACACCAGUGGCGAAGGCGGCUCACUGGCCCGGUACUGACGCUGAGGUGCGAAAGCGUGGGGAGCAAACAGG